This 3496-nucleotide long non-coding RNA is filed under the name Mytilus galloprovincialis (Mediterranean mussel). The record is from RNAcentral. Lineage: Eukaryota; Metazoa; Mollusca; Bivalvia; Mytilida; Mytilidae.
UAACCUUCCUGGUAAACCAGACGGGAAUGCAUUAUAUUUCAAAUUAAAAGGUAACUUUUAGAUUUAUGUGGUAUUUCAAAGAUUUAUUCUUCUCUAGAUACAUUAUCCAUUGUCCCUUAUACGAGGAUGACUUAAAAAUAUGAAAUUUAUAUACGUUUAUUUUUUUCAACUUUCGUUUUUGGCUCGUAUAGAACCAUGAUAUCAUACAUACUUGGAUCUACAUAUACUAACCAUUGUACCAAAUGACCAAGGAAGGCUACUAACACAACUUUAAUAAAUAUGCAUGGGGUACAUUGUUUCAAUACCUCAGCUUCUACAAAGGGGUCAGUUGACAAAACACCAAAGAAAUACCACCAAAUCAAAAAAAAGUCCAAAUAUUGUAAUAAUAAAUAUAUCUUAUAUGUGAAAAAAAGAACAAAUUUCCGAGUUUUAUUUGACAUAAUUCGUUACAACAUAAUGCAAAGAACCGUAACUCUGAUCCGUUUUGUGUAACAAUAUAAUAUGUAAUAAUAACUAUAAUAUAGUUUUUAAUUUAAACUCCUAAAAAAAAAGGAAAAAAGAAACUUAAAACAUUUGAUUCAAAACAUGUGUUUUGAAAUCAAUAUAAUCAUUCAUUUUCGAAUUUUAAAACAUUUUUAAAUGGUUGCCAGGGAAACAAACUAUUUAGUAAAUUCAAAGUUUAAACUUUUUGAAUAGUUUGGGGUUUUAUCUGUUAACAUUUAAAAUACCAUAUUGUUUUAUUGAUAAACAAAAUUUCGAUGGGACUUUAAAUUCAAUUUUCAAUUUUCAAAAGCGUCUUUUUCACCUAUAUUCAGGCAAAAUGUUGUAUUGACGGUUACCAUGGCAAAGCACAUUAUACAGGAAAAAUAAUGAAAAAAUUUACUCAUAUACCAAUGUUUUUAUCAUAUAGGGCAAAACAAUUUAAUUCUGUGACAGUCAUGAAUCACCCUCUGCAUGAUUUUUAAAAAUACAGGUACUUUAAACCCAAGUCAAAUUGAAUUCAUUUUAGAAUAUUUACUUUUAAUGGUACCACGACUGCAAAACUAUUGCUAUGGCUAAUAAUUUAUCAUUGAUUCUAAUUUUGUAGUGUGUUUAAUGGCUGCAUCAUCUCAAAGCUGUGGUGUUUGUGACCUCCGUCACAUCACAAAACCAUGCAUAGUCUGGUGUACAGAAUGUGACGAGGGACUAUGUUCAGAAUGCAAGGAACAUCAUAGUUUGUCUAAGUCAUCGAGAAGCCACAGUGUGAUACCUAUUGCCGAAUACCAGAAACUGCCAGCGGAUGUACUGAAAAUUACUCAGUAUUGUACCAGUCACGAUAAAAAAUAUCAAUUCUAUUGCCAGAAGCAUGAAUGUCCCUGCUGCAGCACAUGUAUCGUGGAAUGUCACAAAGAAUGUCAGGAAAUUGUCGAAUUAGAGAAUGUCAUUCGUAACGCCAAAUCCUCAAAUGCUAUGUGCGAGAUAGAGGAAUCAUUAGCUGAGGUAGCAGAAAAUCUAAAGAAGAUUCGCCAGCAUCAACAAGACAAUCUGUUGACUUUUAAAGAAAAAAGAAAAGAAAUCGAAAAAGAACUAAAGAAAACUAGAAUGAAGAUCAAUAACCACCUCGACAAACUACAAGAAGAUUUAAUGAAACAACUCAACGAGCUCGAAGAAAAAGAAAACUCAAAAUUUGUCAGUUAAUGUCCUCGCUAGAAAAGAAAGAAAAAGAAAUAGGAGAAUGCCAAAAUAGCCUAUUGAACAUCAAGAAACAUGCAACAGAUCUUCAAAUGUUUCUCUCAAUUAAGCAAAUAGAAGAGGACGUUUAUAGCAAAGAAAAAAAUUGCAGGCUCUUGUAGAAGGCAAGGAACAGCAUACUCUUUCAUAUCAAACCAACACCUCUAUCCAGAAUAUCAUAUCCGAUAUCAGAAGUUUUGGGGAAGUGCGUAUUGAAUCUAAUCCAUGCGACAUAGUUCGAUCAGAAGAAGGCAAGACAAGCCCAAUUGAUGAUUCCAAUCGUUCCGAAAAAAUCUAUAGAAAAUAUAAAGCUAACAGUACACAAGACCAUCGACACUCAAGGAAAUAGUAUUUACGGAUGUUGCAUCCUGCCAGAUGAUAGAUUGGUAUUUACUUACUACUAUGACAAAAGAUUAAAAAUAUUCAGCAAUGCAGGAUCAAUAGACUUUGAGGUCCAGAUGCCGUUUCACCCGUUUGAUAUAGCAUACAUCAGUGAAGACAAUUCAUUGGCUGUUACAUCUAGUGGUUCAGAAAAGCAGUGUAUAGCUAUUAUAGAUAUCAAGAAGAAACAAAUCAAGAAAACAAUUUUACUAGAUUCCAGAAGUUUUGGCAUAGCAUUGAAAGAUAAUCGAUUGAUUUAUUCCGAUUACGACAAAGGUAUACGAAUGAUCAAUCUAGACGACGAGUCUAUACGUGACAUAGUCCGAGAACAAAUGCCAAGUCACUGUUACAUUGCAACUUGUAGGGACAACGUAUAUCAUACAAAUUACGAUAAACACACUGUUAUUUGUUAUACUCUUCAAGAUAAAAUACAAUGGACAUUUCAUAACGAAAGCGUUCUAAAGAGUCCUCAUGGUAUUGAUGUAGAUCAUGCUGGUAAUGUUUACGUGGUGGGAAACGAAUCGAACAAUGUGGUAGUUAUCUCCCCUGAUGGACAACGACAUAGAGAAGUGUUGACAGCAAGUGAUGGUCUAAGUGAACCUGUGUCACUUCAUUAUAGUAGACCAAACAAUCAGUUGCUUGUCGCUAACUCCCACAGCAAGGCUUUUUUAUUCAAUUGUAAUUGAAAAAAUAACACUUUGAAAUUAUGUCUGUUUAGAUCAUUAAUUGAAAAGUUUAUGGACAGUAGACAUUAUCUAUUUACACAAACAAAAGUCAUGAAUUUCUUCUUCAUAAUAAUAAUAAUUAACUUUUCAAUAUUCCUCUAUAACAUUUGACUGACGAACGACACAGUUUAUUUUAGUUCGAACAACGUUUUAUCGAACCAUAUAUCCAUCUGUAAUAUAAAAAUAAGGAGAUGUGGUAUAAUCACCAAUGAGACAACUACCCACAGAGUUCAUAUGAAGUGGGUGUAAGCAGUUAUUGUCUGCUACAAAAGGUCCCGACAUGAGCAAUAUAAAACAACUAAAUUAGAAAACUGACGAACUAAUUUAUGACAAAACAAUUUCCGAAAAAAACAUGUAUAACAGACUUGAACCAAAGGCAACCACCGAACAACAGGCUCGAUCCUCACUUGGAACAGGCACAUAAACAUAGUGGCGGGAAUAAAUAUGUUUGAGUGCGCUCAGUCCUCACCAAAACGGGGCUGAUGUUACAGAAUCAUACAGCACAACACAACCCUAAACUAUAAUAACUCAAUUGAAUUAUCAGUUCACCAUGUAAAACUAUCAUUGACGAUAACAGACCAGACGUGGAUCCAGCCUUUCUUAACAAACCACGGAAACGUUCACAAAAUCAAAUAAAAUUGAAAAAAGUGGAGUUUCAAUCACCAGAAUACCAUCCCCGC